AUUUCAAUUAACAUAAAUCCUUAUCAGGGAUUGAAAC
Non-coding RNA from Gloeocapsa sp. PCC 7428, 37 nucleotides. The record is from Rfam. Lineage: Bacteria; Bacillati; Cyanobacteriota; Cyanophyceae; Chroococcidiopsidales; Chroococcidiopsidaceae.